Molecule: ribosomal RNA, 497 nt
Filed under: uncultured bacterium
Lineage: Bacteria
Description: partial 16S ribosomal RNA
Rfam family: Bacterial small subunit ribosomal RNA
Source: RNAcentral
GAUGAACGCUGGCGGCGUGCCUAAUACAUGCAAGUCGAGCGAACGGACGAGAAGCUUGCUUUUCUGAUGUUAGCGGCGGACGGGUGAGUAACACGUGGAUAACCUACCUAUAAGACUGGGAUAACUUCGGGAAACCGGAGCUAAUACCGGAUAAUAUUUUGAACCGCAUGGUUCAACAGUGAAAGACGGUCUUGCUGUCACUUAUAGAUGGAUCCGCGCUGCAUUAGCUAGUUGGUAAGGUAACGGCUUACCAAGGCAACGAUGCAUAGCCGACCUGAGAGGGAGAUCGGCCACACUGGAACUGAGACACGGUCCAGACUCCUACGGGAGGCAGCAGUAGGGAAUCUUCCGCAAUGGACGAAAGCCUGACGGAGCAACGCCGCGUGAGUGAUGAAGGUCUUCGGAUCGGAAAACUCUGUUAGUAGGGAAGAACAUAUGUGUAAGUAACUGUGCACAUCUUGACGGUACCUAAUCAGAAAGCCACGGCUAACUACGUG